Molecule: ribosomal RNA, 253 nt
Filed under: uncultured bacterium
Lineage: Bacteria
Description: partial 16S ribosomal RNA
Rfam family: Bacterial small subunit ribosomal RNA
Source: RNAcentral
UACGAAGGGGGCUAGCGUUGCUCGGAAUUACUGGGCGUAAAGCGUGCGUAGGCGGUUCGUUAAGUCAGCUGUGAAAGCCCCGGGCUCAACCUGGGAACUGCGGUUGAAACUGGCGAACUAGAAUCUGGCAGAGGGGGGUGGAAUUCCACGUGUAGCAGUGAAAUGCGUAGAGAUGUGGAGGAACACCGAUGGCGAAGGCAGCCCCCUGGGCUGAGAUUGACGCUCAGGCACGAAAGCGUGGGGAGCAAACAGG